UAAAAACCCUAUUUGUAAACAACCAGUCCUUUAACUAAGCGCUACGUCAUAAACACGGCGCGCUUGGAAGACCACGAUGUCAUCUUCCUUCUGUCAGGAGGAUCCCAGUGAAGCUACAGGAGUUUCAUUAACGUCAACAACUUGGACCGAACGGUUUGUUUUGCUUGAUGAAGAGCAGGAAGGGCAGCCUGGAGAGAAAGAGAAGCCGGGUUGAGCCCACUACCAUCAUCCAUGUACCACGAGGAAGAUGAGGGAGAGAAAUGAUCCUACCAUUAAAGAGACUGUGAAAAGAACGUUGAGAACAUCACCACUCUACAGGAAGACACAGUCCAGUAAUGGGUGUCAGAAUUUCAGUAGUGAACGACAGGAAGGACUGAUGCAUUUACUGAGACGGGACGUGAGGGCCUACUCUGCGUGCUCAGAGUUCAAGCCCAGCAGGCUGCAGCGGUCCUGACAUAUUCCGGAACAGCAGCACAGUCUUUGGAUGACUCCUCUGAAGAUGAAACAUGGCGAGUUCUUCUCAAGAGAAGCAGUACAGGUGUGCCUCAGCUCCACGGUCCCUCCUGCAACCUCCGCUCCUGAUGCUAACCUCAUGUCUCCAUCACACCAAGCAGCAGACCUGGAUUGACAGACCUUUCUCCAGAGCUGCCCCCUCCCUCUGAAACCCCCCUCUCCAAAACACUAUUUGUGUAGUUUUUAAAGUAUUUUUUGCAUGAGAAUUGUUGAUCAUAACAUUUCCAGCAGAUGCCUUAAUGUAAUGUUUGUGCACAAUAAAUGACAUUGAUCAUAACAUAUUGCUAUUUCCUUGCACUUCUACACCAUGAUAUUGUCAGAUAAGAUGCUGAUUACAUUAAAGCAGUGAAUGCUCUUCUUUAAGCAACAUAAACACACAAUGAUCCAAUGGAUCGGAAGUAGAAUGGGCACAUUACAUUCUGUAGAGAAUGCCUCAGUAAUUGAAGUCAGAAAAUAACUUUCUUUAUCUGAGGUUCCAGUCAUUUAUAGUCACAGCAAAGCACACAGGUCUGGUUGUCUAGGGACACCCAUAUCAUAUUGUUUAAGAUGUGUAACAUCAAGUUUGUGUAUCAGUGCAAAAUACAUACCGUCAUUAGUCAAGAGUUCACUCUCUUGUUUACACUAAAUUUAGGUGACCCAGAUGUUUCACAAUGCAUCUGAUAAGGUCUUAUGAGAAACAUUCUUAACAUUAAAGAAAUCAACACAGAGGAUAGC
This is a long non-coding RNA of Pleuronectes platessa (European plaice), 1227 nucleotides long. RefSeq lists it as uncharacterized. The record is from RefSeq and is a predicted model, not a curated record. NCBI's taxonomy places the organism in Eukaryota, Metazoa, Chordata, Actinopteri, Pleuronectiformes, Pleuronectidae. The transcript is spliced from 5 exons.